This 576-nucleotide long non-coding RNA is filed under the name Jatropha curcas. RNAcentral's name for it is "long non-coding RNA (JCUR_LNC000568)". The record is from RNAcentral. Lineage: Eukaryota; Viridiplantae; Streptophyta; Magnoliopsida; Malpighiales; Euphorbiaceae.
AUAUAGAAAUUUGAAAUUUCUUCAUUAUAAAAAGUAUUGCAUAAAUUGAAGAUCAAUUAUGCAAAGCACACAGGGUAAAUUAAAACUCUUAUUAUUUUGAGAGUCGCACAUUAUGAGCAAUAAGGCUCAUAAUUACGCCCACUUUUCACACAUAAAAAAGCAACAUCAUUUAUUCCAUCCAGUUGAAAUUAUUUAAAUAUAGGAAACAUGCAUAUUUCAAAUUUGAGUAUUUUUUUUUCAUUGGUAUUACAUCUAUCACUUUCGAGAAUAACCAUAUCCUCUGCCUUGAUUGUUUCCUCCUUGGGUUUGAUUACCCCAACCUCCACCUUGAAUUACUCCCUGAGUAUUAUUUGAUCCACAUUGAGUACUUCCUCCUUCAGUGGGUCCUAUCAGGAUCUUAGACCCUUGUCCGCAUAGAAUGGUUGGUCCUUGAUUAUUACCCCAUCCUCCGUUUUGAUCAUUUCCUCCCUGAUUAUUACUCCAAUAUCCUCCUUGGUUGGCCAUUAUUUCACUCAGAGAGACUUGACAACUUCGCUAGAAUGUUUUUGUGAAAUAUUUUUGUAUCCCUCAACUUUU